AUCUAGCGACGAGUUCCAAACAGGACGAAAUGCGCAUUCUGGAU
Molecule: non-coding RNA, 44 nt
Filed under: Trichobilharzia regenti
Lineage: Eukaryota; Metazoa; Platyhelminthes; Trematoda; Strigeidida; Schistosomatidae
Source: RNAcentral